This 497-nucleotide ribosomal RNA is filed under the name uncultured bacterium. Its description in RNAcentral is "partial 16S ribosomal RNA". It matches the Rfam family "Bacterial small subunit ribosomal RNA", at positions 28 to 507 of the family's 1533-position model. The record is from RNAcentral.
GACGAACGCUGGCGGCGUGCCUAAUACAUGCAAGUUGAGCGCUGAAGGUUGGUCCUUGUACCAACUGGAUGAGCAGCGAACGGGUGAGUAACGCGUGGGGAAUCUGCCUUUGAGCGGGGGACAACAUUUGGAAACGAAUGCUAAUACCGCAUAAAAACUUUAAACACAAGUUUUAAGUUUGAAAGAUGCAAUUGCAUCACUCAAAGAUGAUCCCGCGUUGUAUUAGCUAGUUGGUGAGGUAAAGGCUCACCAAGGCGAUGAUACAUAGCCGACCUGAGAGGGUGAUCGGCCACAUUGGGACUGAGACACGGCCCAAACUCCUACGGGAGGCAGCAGUAGGGAAUCUUCGGCAAUGGACGAAAGUCUGACCGAGCAACGCCGCGGGAGUGAAGAAGGGUUUCGGAUCGUAAAACUCUGUUGGUAGAGAAGAACGUUGGUGAGAGUGGAAAGCUCAUCAAGUGACGGUAACUACCCAGAAAGGGACGGCUAACUACGUG